GAUGAACGCUGGCGACGUGCCUAAUACAUGCAAGUAGAACGCUGAAGCUUGGUGCUUGCACCGAGCGGAUGAGUUGCGAACGGGUGAGUAACGCGUAGGUAACCUGCCUCUUAGCGGGGGAUAACUAUUGGAAACGAUAGCUAAUACCGCAUAAAAGUCGAUAUCGCAUGAUAUUGAUUUGAAAGGUGCAAUUGCAUCACUAAGAGAUGGACCUGCGUUGUAUUAGCUAGUUGGUGAGGUAACGGCUCACCAAGGCGACGAUACAUAGCCGACCUGAGAGGGGGAUCGGCCACACUGGGACUGAGACACGGCCCAGACUCCUACGGGAGGCAGCAGUAGGGAAUCUUCGGCAAUGGGGGCAACCCUGACCGAGCAACGCCGCGUGAGUGAAGAAGGUUUUCGGAUCGUAAAGCUCUGUUGUAAGAGAAGAACGAGUGUGAGAGUGGAAAGUUCACACUGUGACGGUAACUUACCAGAAAGGGACGGCUAACUACGUG
RNAcentral lists this ribosomal RNA (497 nucleotides) under uncultured bacterium. Its description in RNAcentral is "partial 16S ribosomal RNA". It matches the Rfam family "Bacterial small subunit ribosomal RNA", at positions 28 to 507 of the family's 1533-position model. The record is from RNAcentral.